AUGUCUUCCUGGAUUUUCAGGUCAUUCCGAGAACUUUUAUUUCUGCACAAAAAUAACACCAUGGCAAUUCUGCUGAAAACAACGUCAGUUCGGGUUAGUUCAAUUGAAAUCAUGCAAGUUAGAGUCCAAAACAAUGGCAAAAGUGUUUGGAAAAGUAGAUACGUUGGAGACGUAUCAACCUCUUGCACCCAAGAUGGGCACCUGGCCUUGGGGUGCAGACGAGACGAUCUUGGUGGUGUUUGCUUCCGCGGGCGCCUUCAGCUUGCCCCCAUUGUUAGCUUGCUUGGACAUCGCGGCAAAGCGCUUGGCAGGUUCAAAUGCACUGGAAUUCUUGUAGAGCUCCAUUAUAUGUGGUGA
This 357-nucleotide ribosomal RNA is filed under the name Triticum aestivum (bread wheat). RNAcentral describes it as "partial small subunit ribosomal RNA". The record is from RNAcentral. Lineage: Eukaryota; Viridiplantae; Streptophyta; Magnoliopsida; Poales; Poaceae.